UCACUGGUGUUCGGGUUGUCAUGCCAAUGGCACUGCCCGGUAGCUAAAUGCGGAAGAGAUAAGUGCUGAAAGCAUCUAAGCACGAAACUUGCCCCGAGAUGAGUUCUCCCUGAGACUACAAGUCUCCUGAAGGAACGUUGAAGACGACGACGUUGAUAGGCCGGGUGUGUAAGCGCAGCGAUGCGUUGAGCUAACCGGUACUAAUGAACCGUGAGGCUUAACCUU
This 225-nucleotide ribosomal RNA is filed under the name Salmonella enterica. RNAcentral describes it as "partial 23S ribosomal RNA". It matches the Rfam family "Bacterial large subunit ribosomal RNA", at positions 2706 to 2925 of the family's 2925-position model. The record is from RNAcentral. Lineage: Bacteria; Pseudomonadati; Pseudomonadota; Gammaproteobacteria; Enterobacterales; Enterobacteriaceae.